GAUCGUGUCAGGAUGAACGCUAGCUACAGGCUUAACACAUGCAAGUCGAGGGGCAGCAUGUGGUGCUGCAACCAUGAUGGCGACCGGCGCACGGGUGAGUAACGCGUAUCCAACCUUCCCCUUAGUAGGGCAUAGCCCGGCGAAAGUCGGAUUAAUACCCUAUGUUCUUCGUAGAUGACAUCUGAAAUGAAGCAAAGGUUUACCGCUAAGGGAUGGGGAUGCGUCUGAUUAGGCAGUCGGCGGGGUAACGGCCCACCGAGCCGACGAUCAGUAGGGGUUCUGAGAGGAAGGUCCCCCCACAUUGGAACUGAGACACGGUCCAAACUCCUACGGGAGGCAGCAGUGAGGAAUAUUGGUCAAUGGGCGCGAGCCUGAACCAGCCAAGUAGCGUGCAGGAAGACGGCCCUAUGGGUUGUAAACUGCUUUUAUGCGGGGAUAAAGUCGCCCACGUGUGGGUGUUUGUAGGUACCGCAUGAAUAAGGACCGGCUAAUUCCGUGCCAGCCGCAGC
Molecule: ribosomal RNA, 509 nt
Filed under: uncultured bacterium
Lineage: Bacteria
Description: bacterial SSU rRNA
Rfam family: Bacterial small subunit ribosomal RNA
Source: RNAcentral